RNAcentral lists this long non-coding RNA (408 nucleotides) under Anas platyrhynchos platyrhynchos (common mallard). RNAcentral's name for it is "lncRNA (ENSAPLG00000028944.1)". Lineage: Eukaryota; Metazoa; Chordata; Aves; Anseriformes; Anatidae. The record is from RNAcentral.
GGGUUUGGAAAGAGAAAAUUUUGGAAGAUCUCCCUGGAGCAUUGUGACAGAACAGGCUGACCCAGGUCUGACCCAUUUUAUGGAGCUUGGAUGAAAAUCUAAAGCCUUGCCUGCAGAUGCUGCAGAGCACCUCUAGCUGCUAGGCACAAAAACAAACCACAGGAGGGUGCAUUACAGGGAUUUUUGACCACCAGCAAGUCCUACCCAGGCAGAAAGAGCAUGGAUGCAACAUUAGAGUGUAGUCAGGAUAAAUUGGACUGCAGUAUUAAGUUACAGACUGCUAAACUACAAGCUUAUCUCUCCAAAUUCAUGGCAGAAGACGUCAACUACUGUGUCAGCGAACUCCAGCAGCUACUAAAGAGGAUAAACCCGCAAACUUCUCUAAUUCUUGCCUCUUUAUUUAUCUGA